GUGGCAGCUUGUUCCCUCCAUUGUGAACUCAUUGUUGGUUGGUUGGUGUUGGUUUACAUCUUGAAAUCAGUAAAUAAUCCUUGGGCUGAAACUUAUGAUCUUUGAGAAAUGAAUUUCAAAAACCAGAUGAGUUUUGCUGGGUGUUUCAAGAUGGCCAAACAGGAACAGCUCCAGUCUACAGCUCCCAGCGUGAUCAAUGCAGAAGAAAGAUUAUCCUCGAUACUUGGAUAAUGUCCAUAUAUGGUGCUGAUUUUGGCCAUGUAACUUUAUUUUAUGUUAUGG
Molecule: long non-coding RNA, 282 nt
Filed under: Homo sapiens (human)
Lineage: Eukaryota; Metazoa; Chordata; Mammalia; Primates; Hominidae
Description: HSALNT0312840
Source: RNAcentral